This 499-nucleotide ribosomal RNA is filed under the name uncultured bacterium. Its description in RNAcentral is "partial 16S ribosomal RNA". It matches the Rfam family "Bacterial small subunit ribosomal RNA", at positions 29 to 523 of the family's 1533-position model. The record is from RNAcentral.
AACGAACGUUAGCGGCGCGCCUAAUACAUGCAAGUCGAGCGAGAAAGGGAUUCGUCCCCAGUAAAGCGGCGCACGGGUGAGUAACACGUAGGUCAUCUACCCUCGGGUGGUGGAUAACAUUCCGAAAGGAGUGCUAAUACAGCAUAACACCGCAAGGACGAAGCGGGCCUCUCUAUAGAAGCUCGCGCCCGAGGAUGAGCCUGCGGCCCAUCAGCUAGUUGGCAGUGUAAAAGACUACCAAGGCUAAGACGGGUAGCCGGUCUGAGAGGAUGAACAGCCACACUGGAACUGGGACACGGUCCAGACUCCUACGGGAGGCAGCAGUAGGGAAUCUUGCGCAAUGGGCGAAAGCCUGACGCAGCGACGCCGCGUGAGUGAUGAAGGCCUUCGGGUUGUAAAGCUCUGUGGGGAGAGAAGAAUAAGUGCAAGCUAAUACUUUGCAUGAUGACGGUAUCUCCUUAGCAAGCACCGGCUAACUCUGUGCCAGCAGCCGCCGUAA